This 253-nucleotide ribosomal RNA is filed under the name uncultured bacterium. RNAcentral describes it as "partial 16S ribosomal RNA". It matches the Rfam family "Bacterial small subunit ribosomal RNA", at positions 524 to 776 of the family's 1533-position model. The record is from RNAcentral.
UACGAAGGGGGCUAGCGUUGCUCGGAAUUACUGGGCGUAAAGGGCGCGUAGGCGGAUCGUUAAGUCAGAGGUGAAAGCCCAGGGCUCAACCCUGGAACUGCCUUCGAUACUGGAAGACUUGAGUCCGGGAGAGGUGAGUGGAACUGCGAGUGUAGAGGUGAAAUUCGUAGAUAUUCGCAAGAACACCAGUGGCGAAGGCGGCUCACUGGCCCGGUACUGACGCUGAGGUGCGAAAGCGUGGGGAGCAAACAGG